Molecule: long non-coding RNA, 285 nt
Organism: Thalassophryne amazonica
Lineage: Eukaryota; Metazoa; Chordata; Actinopteri; Batrachoidiformes; Batrachoididae
Exons: 3
Source: RefSeq, a predicted model, not a curated record
UUACCUGCAAAUGUUCAAAAGCUCUUCACAACCAGAGAAGGAGGUUAUAACCUGAGGGGCUGUGGUAACUUUAAGGUCCAUCCUGUAAGGACCACGAGGAAAAGUUUGUGUGUGUCUGUGUGUGGUGUUAAACUUUGGAACCGACUGGGGCUACAACUUAGGCAGUGUUCAAAUAUCCGUCACUUUAAAUCAAAAUAUAAGGAAAUGGUUUGGUCACAAUAUAUGGGUGUUGCUAGGGGAUGGGAGGGGUGAGGCAAUAUAAUAUAAUUAUCAUAUACUAUAAUA